GCGGUGCUGCGGGGUGCGUCAGGAGACUUGAAUCCCCGGGCCCUUACGAUUCCGAACGGGAGCUGUCACUGGUCUCGACCGUGGUCUUGGUCACAACGGCGCCCACCUACUAUGUAGGUGUCCCGGGAUCUUACAUCCAACGGCCUCUGCGGCUCCGCG
This 159-nucleotide non-coding RNA is filed under the name Methylopila capsulata. RNAcentral describes it as "6S / SsrS RNA". It matches the Rfam family "6S / SsrS RNA". Rfam says of the family: E. coli 6S RNA was the first non coding RNA to be sequenced, but its function was unknown until recently. It consists of 184 nucleotides that fold into an extended hairpin structure with a large single-stranded internal bulge. Lineage: Bacteria; Pseudomonadati; Pseudomonadota; Alphaproteobacteria; Hyphomicrobiales; Methylopilaceae. The record is from RNAcentral.